Molecule: ribosomal RNA, 440 nt
Filed under: uncultured bacterium
Lineage: Bacteria
Description: partial 16S ribosomal RNA
Rfam family: Bacterial small subunit ribosomal RNA
Source: RNAcentral
CCUACGGGUGGCAGCAGUGGGGGAUAUUGCACAAUGGGGGAAACCCUGAUGCAGCAACGCCGCGUGAGGGAAGAAGGUCUUCGGAUUGUAAACCACUGUUCUUGGUGAAGAUAAUGACGGUAACCAAGGAGAAAGCUCCGGCUAACUACGUUCCAGCAGCCGCGGUAAUACGUGGGGAGCAAGCGUUGUCCGGAUUUACUGGGUGUAAAGGGGGCGUAGGGGGUCUUGCAAGUCAGACGGGAAAACCACAGGCUCAACCUGUGGACAGCGUUUGAAACUGGGGGGCUUGAGUGAAGUAGAGGUAGGCGGAAUGCCUGGUGUAGCGGUGAAAUGCAUAGAGAUCGGGAGGAACACCAGUGGCGAAGGCGGCCUACUGGGCUUUAACUGACGCUGAGGCACGAAAGCAUGGGUAGCAAACAGGAUUAGAUACCCCUGUAGUC